Long non-coding RNA from Xenopus tropicalis (tropical clawed frog), 5047 nucleotides. RefSeq lists it as uncharacterized. The record is from RefSeq and is a predicted model, not a curated record. Lineage: Eukaryota; Metazoa; Chordata; Amphibia; Anura; Pipidae. The transcript is spliced from 2 exons.
CCUGAAGCAAACGCCCCAGUGGUACCGGCGCAGGGCAGUAUUUAUAGGCACUAUAGUGGGGUUCCUGAAGCAAACGCCCCAGUGGUACCAGCACAGCGCAGCACUACAUUAUAUUUUAGUUACUUUACAACACUUCUAUGUUUUUAGUUUUACUGUUCCUUUAAAGGAAGAGAUGUAGGCAGCUGUCUGCCUUCUCUAUGUGAGACUGAACAUGAAAGUGGCCAGUUACAGGGUGUGGGCUUUAGGCCCCCGGUUGGGCACUUUGGCAGACAGUCAUGCAGUCCUGUUUGGUACCCGGCAGUCUGUACAGACAUGAGAUUGUGUGAGUGAAGCGGAGGCAGGUAUGGGUGUGAGAGGGGCCACAGAGUAGCCCUGUGACCAAUCCCAUCAGCUUGUCUGAGUGGCCAUGCUAAUGUGCGGCCAAGGAUCUGUGGCUGUGUAUGGAUGUAAAUCUGCUGGUGGGCCAAUAGCAAAGCAGCAUUACACUGGCCAUGGCCCUUCCUUACUGGGCAGUUAUAUGGUGAGCAGGGCAAUGGCCAACCCUUGCUCCAUUGGGUAACACCGGCUCAGCCAAUCAGCUUCUCCCCAUCUGAGCAUCAGUGUCCCAGGCUGGGUACCGGGAGGCCUCUCUCAUUACAUUCAUUUCUACCGACCCACAUCCCCACACAUACAGAUAAAUAUGGCUGCCCCCAUACAGUGUGGGGGAGGGGAUAUUGGAUGUGCGCUGAUGUAAUAGCGCCUCACUCGGGAGCCAUGUUCCCCUGUCGGUAGGUUUGCUAGAACAUUCUAUAGAAAGAGUGGCAUGGUGAUGCCUGUUUUAUUCAGCCCUCUGUGUCAGUGGGCGGAGUCAUCUCAGCAGUGUCCCAAAGCAUUAGCGAUAGUAGGCGGUGUAGUUAGUAUGUGCCUACGUACAUAGACUCUCCCUAUGCUGCUCACUCUGAUCCCAUUAUCUUUCUACCUUCCGCUACUACUCGACUGCCAUAGUCUCAGCCCCUAAUGGGGCAGCUGGGCAAUACUGUGCCCUUUGGCAGGCUUACAGCGGGCACGCUAGACAGGUGCCAGCCCGGGCCCUGCAGUAUCUGGGCUAAAUCCAUUCAUGGUUCUGAUGGCUCAGUGGUUUCUAACUUGCAACCUUCCUCUUUUUAUCUAGAAAGUGUAACAGAGAUGGUUUGGAAAGUACUGCUCCAACUGUGCAUAACCUUCUGUUGCUGGAGUGGGGGCAGUUAUGUGUAUUUUGUGCUUUAUAGGCAGGCCACGGAAGCUGCACCUUGGUUAAUUCAAUUUAUGUUUCUGUUAACUAGCAAACAGCAUGUCAGCUACUUACUGGCACAGGCGCCAGUCCCCAGAAGUGCCAGUGCAGGUUAGUUGGUACCUGUAAGUACUCCUCUUCCUUCUUCUUCUACUUUCAUGAUAACUAACGUACUACUGUGGGGUAAUGCUGAUACGCGCCAGUCUGCUCCCUAUGGCUUUGUCACCCCACCCCCCAAAGAGAGCGCCCCUUCUCUCAGCUGGGGGGCAGCAUAGGCUGUGUGGGACAGGAGUGCCCUUAUGCAUGUCUGUCUCUCUCUGCACUCCUUAUAGCUGCCUCCUUCCUUGCACUCUUUCUGAGCUCUCAGCCCCGACCCAUCACAGCUCCUCCCCUCACGGUGUGUGUGUGUAUCCCCCGCCCACAUUGCCACAUAGUGACAUGGCUAAUGGAUACCCUUGGAUUUGCUUGUCACAUGAUGGCCCAAUGAGCAAUUCAUAGGCCAAUAUCUGUUGGAUACAAACCCAGAUAUAAUUGCAGAACCCCGUAGGCAAGCCAUUCAGUCUGUCCAUUUGUAUCAAUGGCUAAAUGGCUUUGCCCUAAUAAUGGGGGCAGGCAUGUUGUUACCUGCCCCCCACCCACAGCCAUGCCCCAUUCAUAUGGGGGCAUUAUUGUCCCUGGCCUGCUAGUAGAGAGUGAAAAAGCCUGCGCUUCCCUGUAGCAGGCCAGUCGGGGGUACAGAUGGAACCCCAUAAGCCCACGCUUCCCUGUAGCAGGCCAGUUGGGGGUACAGAUGGAACCCCAUAAGCCUGUGCUUCCCUGUAGUAGGCCAGUCGGGGGUACAGAUGGAACCCCAUAAGCCCGCGCUUCCCUGUAGCAGGCCAGUCGGGAGUACAGAUGGAACCCCAUAAGCCCACGCUUCCCUGUAGUAGGCCAGUCGGGGGUACAGAUGGAACCCCAUAAGCCCGCGCUUCCCUGUAGCAGGCCAGUCGGGGGUACAGAUGGAACCCCAUAAGCCCGCGCUUCCCUGUAGCAGGCCAGUCGGGGGUACAGAUGGAACCCCAUAAGCCCGCGCUUCCCUGUAGCAGGCCAGUCAGUGGUACAGAUGAAACCCCAUAAGCUCGCGCUUCCCUGUAGCAGGCCAGUCGGGAGUACAGAUGGAACCCCAUAAGCCCGCGCUUCCCUGUAGCAGGCCAGUCGGGGGUACAGAUGAAACCCCAUAAGCCUGCGCUUCCCUGUAGCAGGCCAGUCGGGGGUACAGAUGGAACUCCAUAAGCCCGCGCUUCCCUGUAGCAGGCCAGUCGGGGGUACAGAUGGAACCCCAUAAGCCUGUGCUUCCCUGUAGCAGGCCAGUCGGGGGUACAGAUGGAACCCCAUAAGCCCGCGCUUCCCUGUAGCAGGCCAGUCGGGGGUACAGAUGGAACCCCAUAAGCCCGCGCUUCCCUGUAGCAGGCCAGUCGGGGGAACAGAUGGAACCCCAUAAGCCCGCGCUUCCCUGUAGCAGGCCAGUCGGGGUACAGAUGGAACCCCAUAAGCCCGCUCUUCCCUGUAGCAGGCCAGUCGGGGGUACAGAUGGAACCCCAUAAGCCCGCGCUUCCCUGUAGCAGGCCAGUCGGGGGUACAGAUGGAACCCCCAUAAGCCCGCGCUUCCCUGUAGCAGGCCAGUCGGGGGUACAGAUGGAACUCCAUAAGCCCGCGCUUCCCUGUAGCAGGCCAGUCGGGGGUACAGAUGGAACUCCAUAAGCCCGCGCUUCCCUGUAGCAGGCCAGUCGGGGGUACAGAUGAAACCCCAUAAGCCCGCGCUUCCCUGUAGCAGGCCAGUCGGGGGUACAGAUGAAACCCCAUAAGCCCGUGCUUCCCUGUAGCAGGCCAGUCGGGGGUACAGAUGAAACCCCAUAAGCCCGCGCUUCCCUGUAGCAGGCCAGUCGGGGGUACAGAUGGAACCCCAUAAGCCCGCGCUUCCCUGUAGCAGGCCAGUCGGGGGUACAGAUGGAACCCCAUAAGCCCGCGCUUCCCUGUAGCAGGCCAGUCGGGGGUACAGAUGGAACCCCAUAAGCCCGCGCUUCCCUGUAGCAGGCCAGUCGGGGGUACAGAUGGAACCCCAUAAGCCCGCGCUUCCCUGUAGCAGGCCAGUCGGGGGUACAGAUGGAACCCCAUAAGCCCGCGCUUCCCUGUAGCAGGCCAGUCGGGGGUACUGCCCCAUAUUUAGAGGAAAGCAAGGGUUCCAGUUAUGUAUGAGCGGAACUUGGGAAAGCUAUGCAGCUGCAAUACCAUGUUUAAAGGCCAAGUUAUUCUCUGUGUUGUUUAGUUUUGCACCACCGUGAGUUAGAAGGUGACCCUUGCAGCCUUUCCCAUGUAAGAGCCAUGGAGAUUUCUCACAGUGCCAGCCUGUAGUUAUAUCCAGGCUCUGUGUGCAUUGUUAGUAACAUCAGGGGAUCGUCUCUCAGUGUUAAUAAGCCAAACCUUACAUUGCUUUAUUAAGUACAGUUCCAUUUCCCAUGUGGUCUGUGAGGCCACUGUGCCCUGAGUGAGUGGCCAGUAGAGCAGUCUCCCCUGCCACUGUGUUAUGGGACAGCACAUCUCUCUCUGUUAGGGCUGAAACUUGUUUAUGUGCAUUUUAUUUACCUGUCAAUUCGUCUAUUCAAGGAAAAGCCCUUAAACAUUGGAUCACUGCUUGGGUAUGAGAUGCAUGGGAAGCACGCAGUAAAGCCCUAUGUUCUGUGCCGCUGAACUAGGUACGGUCUAACCCAUUCCCUGCUAUGUGCCAGUCCCUGCAGACCGGGCACCCUAAUAGGCAAGGUAUGGUCUGACCCGCACCCUAAUAGGCAAGGUAAGGUCUGACCCGUGCCCUGUUAUGUACCAGUCCCUACAGACUGCAGGCCGGCACCCUAGUAGGCAAGGUAUGGUCUGACCCGCACCCUAAUAGGUAAGGUCUAACCCGUGCCCUGUUAUGUACCAGUCCCUGCAGACUGCAGGCCGGCACCCUAAUAGGCAAGGUAUGGUCUGACCCGCACCCUAAUAGGUAAGGUUUGACCCGCACCCUAAUAGGUAAGGUCUAACCCGUGCCCUGUUAUGUACCAGUCCCUGCAGGCCGGCACCCUAAUAGGUAAGGUAUGGUCUGACCCGCACCCUAAUAGGUAAGGUCUAACCCGUGCCCUGCUAUGUACCAGUCCCUACAGACUGCAGGCCGGGCACCCUAAUAGGCAAGAUAUGGUCUGACCCGCACCCUAAUAGGUAAGGUCUAACCCGUGCCCUGUUAUGUGCCAGUCCCUAUAGACUUCAGGCCGGGCACCCUAAUAGGUAUGGUCUGACCCGUGCCCUGUUAUGUGCCAGUCGCUACAGACUGCAGGCCGGCACCCUAAUAGGUAAGGUCUGACCUGUGCCCUGUUAUGUGCCAGUCCCUACCAACUGCAGGCCGGGCACCCUAAUAGGUAAGGUCUAACCCGUGCCCUGUUAUGUGCCAGUCCCUACCAGCUGCAGGCCGGGCACCCCACACCCAACACGGGCUGCGUUGUGCCGACAUGGCAAAGCACCGGUUUGCGCCAACAAGUCUCCCAGGUAUGUAUGAUACGUGGCCCUUUCCUGCUGCAUAGUGCAGCCCCUGCUAACUCACCUGAGUGGCCUUUUCUACUAAUAUCACAGAUUUUCACCUUUCUAGUAUGAUGUAGAGACAAUUUGCAAUUGGUCUUCAUUUUGUUAUGAUUUGCUGGGUUUGAAUUAUUUGGCUUUUUGUUCAGCAGGAAUGUUCUUAAAGGAACGCUGUCAUCCAAAUAAAAGUAUUAUUGGUGCUCGAAGACCCGG